GAACAAUGAAGCGUGAGCUGGAGGGGAGCGAGCGGGCCGCCGGGAGCGCACUGUGUACAAACAGAGGCGGCGUGCGUAGAGGGAGGUAGGGAGAGAGACAAACACAGAGCUAGAGAAAUUGAAAGAGAAACAUUCUCGAAGGCAAAGAGUUGAAAGGUGAAUCUACUAAGAAAAGAAUAACAGAGUGCAAUUAGCCAUGGAACUACAUCUCCAUCUGCCUCCUUUAAAGGAUGAGUCCUUUAAAGAGCCUUUGGAAGGAAUUGGGCCAUGAGAAGAGCCCUCAUGAAUGGGAUUAGUUCCCUUAUAAGAAGAGACACCAAGGAAGUGAUCUUUCUCUGCCCUCUGCUAUGUGAAGACAAGGUCAUCUGCAGUUUUUUGUUGUUGUUGAUGAUCUUCCUGUCAUAGACAAUGCUGUAACAAACAGACUAAUGCUUCAGAAGAAUUGUAAUAUUAGGUACUAUCUGCCUUUAAGAAAAUAGAAGCAGCUGGUGUGGUGGCUCAUGCCUGUAAUCCCAGCACUUUGGGAG
This 527-nucleotide long non-coding RNA is filed under the name Homo sapiens (human). Its description in RNAcentral is "HSALNT0327748". Lineage: Eukaryota; Metazoa; Chordata; Mammalia; Primates; Hominidae. The record is from RNAcentral.